Molecule: transfer RNA, 74 nt
Filed under: Bujurquina mariae
Lineage: Eukaryota; Metazoa; Chordata; Actinopteri; Cichliformes; Cichlidae
Description: tRNA-Lys
Rfam family: tRNA
About the family: Transfer RNA (tRNA) molecules are approximately 80 nucleotides in length. Their secondary structure includes four short double-helical elements and three loops (D, anti-codon, and T loops).
Source: RNAcentral
CGCUAAGAAGCUAAACAGGAAACAGCAUUAGCCUUUUAAGCUAAAGAUUGGUGACUCCUAAUCACCCCUAGCGA